GCCCGGGUGGCGAAACUGGCAGACGCAGCAGACUUAAGAUCUGCCGCCCUUACAGGCGUGCCGGUUCGAUUCCGGCCCCGGGCACCA
This 87-nucleotide transfer RNA is filed under the name bacterium. Its description in RNAcentral is "tRNA-Leu". It matches the Rfam family "tRNA". From Rfam's summary of the family: Transfer RNA (tRNA) molecules are approximately 80 nucleotides in length. The record is from RNAcentral.